This 498-nucleotide ribosomal RNA is filed under the name uncultured bacterium. RNAcentral's name for it is "partial 16S ribosomal RNA". It matches the Rfam family "Bacterial small subunit ribosomal RNA", at positions 30 to 523 of the family's 1533-position model. The record is from RNAcentral.
AUUGAACGCUGGCGGCAUGCCUUACACAUGCAAGUCGAACGGUAACAGGUCUUCGGAUGCUGACGAGUGGCGAACGGGUGAGUAAUACAUCGGAACGUGCCUAGUAGUGGGGGAUAACUACUCGAAAGAGUGGCUAAUACCGCAUGAGAUCUACGGAUGAAAGCAGGGGAUCGCAAGACCUUGUGCUACUAGAGCGGCCGAUGGCAGAUUAGGUAGUUGGUGGGAUAAAAGCUUCCCAAGCCGACGAUCUGUAGCUGGUCUGAGAGGACGAUCAGCCACACGGGGACUGAGAACCGGCCCAGACGCCUACGGGAGGCAGCAGUGGGGAAUUUUGGACAAGGGGCGCAAGCCUGAUCCAGCAAUGCCGCGUGCAGGAUGAAGGCCUUCGGGUUGUAAACUGCUUUUGUACGGAACGAAAAGCCCCGGGUUAAUACCCUGGGGUCAUGACGGUACCGUAAGAAUAAGCACCGGCUAACUACGUGCCAGCAGCCGCCGUAA